GACUGAGUUGUGUAGUGGUUACACAUCCGCGAAAUAUACAUGCUCUCUUUACCCGUACUUCGCGGCGGUUGUGGGUUCGAUUCCCACCUCAGCCU
Mycena vitilis is the source of this 95-nucleotide non-coding RNA. NCBI's taxonomy places the organism in Eukaryota, Fungi, Basidiomycota, Agaricomycetes, Agaricales, Mycenaceae. The record is from the annotation of a GenBank genome assembly.